Molecule: ribosomal RNA, 497 nt
Filed under: uncultured bacterium
Lineage: Bacteria
Description: partial 16S ribosomal RNA
Rfam family: Bacterial small subunit ribosomal RNA
Source: RNAcentral
GACGAACGCUGGCGGCGUGCCUAAUACAUGCAAGUAGAACGCUGAAGAGAGGAGCUUACUCUUCUUGGAUGAGUUGCGAACGGGUGAGUAACGCGUAGGUAACCUGCCUUGUAGCGGGGGAUAACUAUUGGAAACGAUAGCUAAUACCGCAUAACAAUGGAUGACACAUGUCAUUUAUUUGAAAGGGGCAAUUGCUCCACUACAAGAUGGACCUGCGUUGUAUUAGCUAGUAGGUGAGGUAAUGGCUCACCUAGGCGACGAUACAUAGCCGACCUGAGAGGGUGAUCGGCCACACUGGGACUGAGACACGGCCCAGACUCCUACGGGAGGCAGCAGUAGGGAAUCUUCGGCAAGGGGGGCAACCCUGACCGAGCAACGCCGCGUGAGUGAAGAAGGGUUUCGGAUCGUAAAGCUCUGUUGUAAGUCAAGAACGGGUGUGAGAGUGGAAAGUUCACACUGUGACGGUAGCUUACCAGAAAGGGACGGCUAACUACGUG